GAUGAACGCUAGCGGCAGGCUUAACACAUGCAAGUCGAGGGGUACCAUGGAUUGCUUGCAAUCUGAUGGCGACCGGCGUACGGGUGCGUAACGCGUAUGGAAUCUACCUUUUACAGGGGUAUAGCCCGGAGAAAUUCGGAUUAAUCCCCCAUAGUAUUAUAUUUUGGCAUCGAGAUAUGAUUAAAGGUAAAUAUUUAUAUAUUUAUUGGUAAGAGAUGAUCAUGCGUCUUAUUAGCUAGUUGGUGUGGUAACGGCAUACCAAGGCAACGAUAAGUAGGGGUUCUGAGAGGGAUAUCCCCCACACUGGUACUGAGACACGGACCAGACUCCUACGGGAGGCAGCAGUGAGGAAUAUUGGACAAUGGGCUGAGGCCUGAUCCACCAUGCCGCGUGCAGGAAGACAGCCCUAUGGGUUGUAAACUGCUUUUCUAGAGGAAAAAUAAGGAGUAUGUAUACUUUGAUGACGGUACUUUAGGAAUAAACAUCGGCUAACUUCCGUGCCAGCAGCCGCGGUAAU
Molecule: ribosomal RNA, 517 nt
Filed under: uncultured bacterium
Lineage: Bacteria
Description: bacterial SSU rRNA
Rfam family: Bacterial small subunit ribosomal RNA
Source: RNAcentral